This is an RNA transcript of Grammomys surdaster, 4581 nucleotides long. It is a transcript of the gene named TAFA chemokine like family member 2, with no coding region annotated. The transcript has 7 exons. NCBI's taxonomy places the organism in Eukaryota, Metazoa, Chordata, Mammalia, Rodentia, Muridae. The record is from RefSeq and is a predicted model, not a curated record.
AGACGGAGGGAGUCAAAGCCUCCAGGUCCAGCCGUCCCAUUUUACUGCUUAAGUCAGCCUGGAGUGUCAGAACCCAUCUCUGCCUGCCUUCUCUGGGUUUUGUACAGUGGGGCCAGUCGCUCCCAACGGCCAGCCAGCUGAGUGGAACAGGGGUCUAGGGUGGACCAGCAGGGCUCUGCCCGUUGGGGUGACUUUCUAACAUUAUCUCUAGUGUAUUUUAACAGUACAGAGGCUUGCGGUGGGACUCAGAGAGGGAGAAGCUUUGAUUGCUUUUUUUUUUUAUUUUUGGCUUCUUUUUCUUCUGGUGAUCUGGAUUUGUUUCCUCCGGCCCCUCCCCUUGUCCUGUUCUUUCUCACUCCCGCCUUUGGCGAAGUGACACAGGCGACACCUGCUCGCUUGUGUCUGCUGCUGGAACUCGCACCUCCACGGUGGUGAAGGUGCCGGCGCGCUCGUGACUGUGGGGACAGCAGAGGGUUCCCUCCCUUGGAGCACACGAUGCACAGAGUGGCGGCGGGUGGGCUGCGAGGAGCUCGACCGGCUGCACGGGAAGGCGGGAUCGAGGGGCUGCCGCUGGCGGGGAGUUGCUGCUAAGUGGACGCGACUCGACGGCGCCCAGGUGUCAGUCAGGGCACCCGCGGGACCCCAGUGCGAGCUGCGGGAACGCGGGCGUCUCACGGGGAGGACGCCGGUUGAGCGCACAGCCCCGGGCGAGCCUGCUCAGAACCGCUCCACCCCGGAGCCUGCAGACCUGGGAGAGCUGGGGAACUCGAGGAGUGCGAGGCUGCUCUGCUGAAGGUGAAUCACCGCGUCCAAUUGCCUUUCCCUAGAGAACCCGGGGGAGGGCGGGAGAGAGGGGGGGAAAACGUGUGAGCGCGCAAGGGAGAGACGACGCGGGGCGAGAGGAAAAAGUCCUCGCUCGCCGCUCAAAGCAAACAAAUCGGAGAUGGAAUAAGAGCGCCGGUGGCUGGAGCCCGCCUGGAUCCUCGCAGUCCCGGGAGCCGAGCGCACCGCGCGCAGCGAGCGCAUCGCUGGGGACAGCGGGCGACCGCGGGCGCCGCCGGGGGCUGCGGAGACUUUAGCUCUCCCCUUCGGUCCACGAACCUUCCGAUUACUUUGACAAAGAGCCGAGCCCAAGGACCGGCCUCGCGCGCUGCACCUUCCUCUUGUUUCGGGGAGGGGGGAACCCCAGCUUGUAUGAAGACACUGCCGAGCCCCCUUUAGCCUUCGGAGGAGGCGGCACUCACACGCGCGCACGCAGGGCCACACUCGCUCGCCCUCCGCGAGCACACACCGGCGGACUUUGGGUCCCUAUGCCCCUGGAUGGUGCCAGCGGACCGGCAUCUCGGAAGCGAUGCAGGAGCGGUGAGGCUGGCGUCGGCCCGCGGAAGCUACAGGACCAUCGCUAGGUGCUGCCGCCACCGGGACGCCCGGCUGCAGGGUCUCUCACUGAACCUGGAAAUAAGCUGGUGUCCAGCAAACCCCAGCGUCUCUGCCCAGUGACCGUUAUAGGAGCGUAGGACCAUACUGCCCAUCAGUUUCAUGUGGACACUAGGACUGAACUGGUACCCGUGCUUGUGCAGCAAGGGCUCUUACCCACUGAGCUAUCACUUCAGCUUGCCAUGAGUAUCUAUUCAAUGAAUGAUCAUCAAGAUGAAUAAGAGAUACUUACAGAAAGCAACACAAGGAAAGCUUCUGAUAAUUAUUUUUAUAGUGACCUUGUGGGGGAAAGCUGUUUCCAGCGCCAACCAUCACAAAGCUCACCAUGUUAGAACUGGGACUUGCGAGGUGGUGGCGCUGCACAGAUGCUGUAAUAAGAACAAGAUAGAAGAACGGUCCCAAACGGUCAAGUGUUCCUGCUUCCCUGGGCAGGUGGCAGGCACUACACGAGCUGCUCCAUCUUGUGUGGAUGCAUCCAUAGUGGAACAAAAAUGGUGGUGUCAUAUGCAGCCAUGUCUGGAGGGAGAAGAAUGUAAAGUUCUUCCAGAUCGCAAAGGAUGGAGCUGUUCCUCUGGAAACAAAGUAAAAACAACUAGGGCAAACGUGUAAAACUCUUCACAUUGGAAUGGAGAAAUAGAAAGAGAAGGUUUCUGCUGUGCCUGAUGACAAUUUUUGAUUUUCCACAUUCAAAAUUAUUCUGGCUCCACGCUUGGAGCAGUAGUUAUGGCGAAUCCUAGUGUUGGUCGGAUUCUGAGGAAGGGGCAGAAGUUUCCUUGAGAAGUAAAGAUUCCAAACAACUCCAGAAAUGAGCGUCUGUCUCCUUUCAUUUCUCACAGAGCAGCAGGUAACCCAUUAACCACUCCUAAAUCAAGUAAUCCUCAAGGCUGUGUUCUUGGAGACACAAGAAUAGAAACUGGACUCCUGCAGGGACCUUGAAGAUUUUUAUACCUCUUAGAAGAGACAUUUAAAACCCAUUUCCAAGGGAUUCUAUGGGUUUUCAUCUACUUCUUACUGAAACUGAGACUUUAAAGAAGUCUGAAGUAAACUUUGGGUCCUGACGACUUCAUCAGCUGUGAACUAUGCUUGGCUCAUGACUCUUCUGAGGAAAGUGGACACUGCUCUCCACAGAGCUUCGAUAGAGUUGGUUUUCUGGGGUGACAGCAGAGACUGUCACCUGUAAGGUUUCUGGCUUCAGCUGUGACUGUUCUUGUGUCUGAAGCUGUCUCCCAAGCUCACUGUACUAUCAUGGAUGUGCUCCUGGCUCCUUUGUUCCUUGUCCAGUAGGACUGUGCACAGCUUCGAUGACGUUCCCUUUGCAAACUUUUCCGGCAUGGCAUAGGCAGAGACAAUUUUAUUGGUAUUCUAACCUUGAAACUCUGAAAGCCUACUUGUUUUAACAUCUUACACUUGCCCCUGUGAAAGGAAUAGAAGUAUUUAUCCAUUGGUAAUGAUAAUCAUUGGCAAAUCACAGUGAUCUGAAUACAUCCCUCAUGUAAGAAUGUGCAAGCGAGCUGACACAUUUCCCCAAGGCUAACAUGUGACUGCAGCUCUCUGACAGUUUAACAGAUAGCAGUUAGGACUGGAUUCCAAUUCCCAUUACACAGUACUCUGUGCCUCUAGUGCACCCUUCCUUCCAGUUUUUUUUUAAGUGUACUUUCUUUUUUAUGUUUCCUUUUACUUUCCUUCACAGAAACCCUCAGUGUACAGUCAAAUUAGCAGAGAGCUUUUGAUUUCAAAAAUAAAACAAAACACACCAGGGAUGCAUGUGAUUCUCUAAUUUCUAAUCACUUACAUUUCUUCUAGCAUUUUCUUAAACUAUCCUUUCUGUCUCAUUCGAAGAUUGUCUCUUGCUUGAUUCCAAUGACUGCUUGAAUGCUUAUAUAUUUGUUCAGUCUGUGGAUAGAAAAAAAGAAAAAACCUGUUGAUUUUCCUUGACCACAAAGGUCUAAAUACUUGCUUAUGGUUGUUCCAUUUAAACAAUUCUUGGCCAGUAUUUUGUCCAUUAUUUUCACAUCCAUCAUAAAACUUGUGAUUUUUAGUUCUUUGUGAUUUCUCUUACAAAUAUUUAAAGGCCUUAAACAUUGAUUUACCUUUUUUUUUAAGUUACUACAGAAUGUAUAAUUUUGUACCGCAUUUAUUUUGUUUCACUUGUGAUGUGGGGGAAGGGAACAGUGAGUACUGAGUUGCCACCGUAUAAUAAUAAUAAUACCAUGUAAACCGAUAGCUUGAAGGAAUAUAAAGGCAAGGGUUUUCCAUGCCUUAAUUAUUUUAGUUUGAUUGAAAGAUGUUUCACAGAUCAUCCUAUUAGGUCGUCCAUCAUUUUAGUAAAAGAGUGAAGAUGUUCAGGACUUCUUGCAUUUCUAGAACUCACUGACAAAGCCAGUUCACCUUGUGUUGGUUUCUAAGAUGGAGGUUCACAUAUUCUAGAGAAGAAUUUGUAUCUGUUAGUCUGUAACAAUGCUCAAAGGGUCACAUAUUAACAAGAACCUUUAGUAGGAAGAACAGCUAAAAGCGUAAAAAUCUGUUAAAAAUUAAAUUGGAAAACGACACUUCUAAUACUGAGUGAAAGUCAACUGCCUCAUGAAAAUAUGGAAUGAAGUGAUUCCUGCCUCACUUUUAAUUGCACCCAAUUGGGUGGUUCUACAUGGGUUUUGUAAUGGUCAAAUCUACCCAGAGUCAAUAUGAAAGGAGUAACAGUUGUGCUGGACUUUCUCUGUCAAACAAAUUAUCACUACUUUCUUUGGUACAAAAUGAAAAACUAUCGUUUUGGAUAUUAUGAGUUUAUCCUAGGUUUGUUUGAAAUUAAGGAUCAUGCUUCUCAUUUCGAAAACUAUGUCAUUUAAAACAACACUGGAAACUCUGUAUUAUAUAAAAGUGUAAUACAUGCGUAUCAAUAGAAAAAAAUAAAUGGAAUUUCAAAUAUAUGAACUAGAUAUUCCCAGUAGAUUAAUGUUGUGACCAUUCAGAAAAAAAUUAAAUAAAAUUGGAAUAUAAAAUGGACUCACUUUCACAAGUAAAAUUUGGAAAAUCUGGUCUCUUGUAUCCUAUUUUAAAAGAACCCUAGUUGGUAACCAGUACAACUCUGAACUUAGAUGGAAGCUGAUGAUUUCUUCAGUCCUCUUUUAAUAAAGUUCUGUGCUAAAC